Molecule: ribosomal RNA, 423 nt
Filed under: Triticum aestivum (bread wheat)
Lineage: Eukaryota; Viridiplantae; Streptophyta; Magnoliopsida; Poales; Poaceae
Description: partial small subunit ribosomal RNA
Source: RNAcentral
AUGUGUUCGUUGGACAUUUUGACGCAACGAGCAUCCAAUAGGAAUUUCCUUGCUCUCUCUCGCUCCACGGCGACCAAACAAGCCCGGUACGUGGACCAGGCCCACAGAAAAUACGACCCAAUCCUUCUCGUGAACGGCUCAGAUGUGCGGGAUGCGGGCCAGCGGCGCGGCAGCGUCGUGGGCGGUGGAGCGGACGCGCACCUCUACGACGACCCGGACGGCGCCGCCAUCCCGGCGCUCGUCGACUCCCGCUUCGACGGCGACAAGCUCGACGCCCUCAAGCACCUUCUCGCCCUCAUCUCUCCGCAGGUCCGGCUAGCGUCCACCCUCUUCUCGUCUCCUCUCGUCUGUCUCACGCCGUGGAUUCAGGCACGGAAUUGCGUCUGUGCUUGCUGCGCAGGCGGCCAUGAACUGGCGGCUUAG